AUUGAACGCUGGCGGCAGGCCUAACACAUGCAAGUCGAGCGGAUGAAGGGAGCUUGCUCCUGGAUUCAGCGUCGGACGGGUGAGUAAUGCCUAGGAAUCUGCCUGGUCGUGGGGGAUAACGUCCGGAAACGGGCGCUAAUACCGCAUACGUCCUGAGGGAGAAAGUGGGGGAUCUUCGGACCUCACGCUAUCAGAUGAGCCUAGGUCGGAUUGGCUAGUUGGUGGGGUAAAGGCCUACCAAGGCGACGAUCCGUAACUGGUCUGAGAGGAUGAUCAGUCACACGGGAGCUGAGACGCGGUCCAGGCUCCUACGGGAGGCAGCAGAGGGGAAUAGUGGACAAUGGGCGAAAGCCUGAUCCAGCCAGGCCGCGUGUGUGAAGAAGGUCUUCGGAUUGUAAAGCACUUUAAGUUGGGGGGAAGGGCAGUAAGUUAAUACCUUGCUGUUUUGACGGUACCAACAGAAUAAGCACCGGCUAACUUCGUG
RNAcentral lists this ribosomal RNA (484 nucleotides) under uncultured bacterium. RNAcentral describes it as "partial 16S ribosomal RNA". It matches the Rfam family "Bacterial small subunit ribosomal RNA", at positions 30 to 507 of the family's 1533-position model. The record is from RNAcentral.